UGUUUGGAGAAUGAAAAUGGACAAUAAAGGAAAUGCAAGUUACUAGCAAAUAUUUCAACAUGUCUUGGAACUUUAUUUUAUGAACUGUCAGUACCAUCUGCAAUGUGGAUGGACAUACAUGCUUCUUAGAAUAUUUUCAUUUUAUGUUCAAUUCUUUGUUUAUUUACUGAGAUUGUCAAAGUAAUUCCUUUGCUCAGUAAUUUUAAGGGAACUAUAACCUAUAGUUUUGGCAGCCAGUUUUAUUUGGUUUAUUUACUUUUUUGGGGAAAUUCUUUUAUAUUUUCUAUUAUUCGGCUCUUAUUCUGUUCUUGAGAUCUGAAUUUCUGUAAGUUACUAUAAUUAUAAAAAAUGUUAUUUUUUUUCUUGAUUAAAUUGAUUGAUGAGGAAUUUUAUCACAAUGCAUGUGCUUGUUGUUGGAGGCCAUGUGCCCUGCUGUACUGUGCUAUUGUAAAAUGGAUACUGAAUUUAGGGGCUUCUGUCAAGUUUUGUAAAUAUAUAAACAACUCUAUUGGGAUGCUUGACACUGCUGACAUUAUAGGAUCUCAUGAAGCCGCAUAUGUGCAAAUGUGAGGAAGAAAUCGGUCAUCCAAUGGUUUCAUACUUGUUUGAAUGCAGGGAAUUGCUAGGAGG
Molecule: unclassified non-coding RNA, 630 nt
Filed under: Hevea brasiliensis (rubber tree)
Lineage: Eukaryota; Viridiplantae; Streptophyta; Magnoliopsida; Malpighiales; Euphorbiaceae
Source: RNAcentral